RNAcentral lists this long non-coding RNA (4934 nucleotides) under Sus scrofa (pig). RNAcentral's name for it is "lncRNA (ENSSSCG00055007466.1)". Lineage: Eukaryota; Metazoa; Chordata; Mammalia; Artiodactyla; Suidae. The record is from RNAcentral.
UUUUUUUCUUUUUUUUCUUUUAGGGCUGCACCUGCCGCACAUGGAGGUGCCCAGGCUAGGGGUCGAAUCAGAGCUGCAAUUGCUGGCCUACACUGCAGCCACAGCAAUAUGGGAUCCAAGCCACGUCUACAACCUACACCACAGCUCACGGGGACACUGGAUCCUUAACCCACUGAGCAAGGCCAGGGAUAGAACCUGCAUCCUCAUGGAUCCUAGUCUGGUUCGUUAACCACUGAGCCAGGACAGGAACUCCUCUUUCUACUUUCUUGAUAUUGCCCUUUGAAGCACAAAACUUUUCAAAUAAAAAGCAAUGAUAAAUUGCUUUUUAAGGAGUUCCCGCUGUGGCUCAGUUAAGGACCUGACGUUGUCUCUAUGAGGAUGGGGGAUUGAUCCUUGGCCUUAGUGGGUUAAGGAUCUGGCAUCAGAGCAAGCUGUGGAAUAGGCUGCAGAUGCAGCUUGGGGCCUGGUGUUGCUAUGGCUGUGGUGUACGCCACAGCUGCAGCUCCAUCCCAAUUUAACCCCUAGCCUGGGAAUUUCCAUAUGCCACAGGUGUUACAAUGAAAAGNUUAAAAAAAAAAAAUACUUAAAAAAAAUCCUUUGGAGAUCUGGAUCCAAAAUGUUUUCCUAACCCAUAAUGAACAGUAAUUGUAUAGUAGGCAGGAAAGUAAUUCAGGAGUGUAUUACAAGAAGAACAAGAAAAACUGAUAAUUAAUUAAAAGGAAAAAUAUUUUGAUGGGUAGGAAAUUAAACUCCACAUAGUUAAUAUAUAAGAAUAAAGGCUCUGUAAUAUAUUUUGACUCUUUUUCACAUGUAUAAAUGCACAUAAAGCAGAUUGGAAGAAGUUAUUUUUACAAACACAAGCCAGAGAAAAAAAUCUAUUCUUAUCCCUAAACCUACUAAGUGGAACUGAAGGGAAAACAGAGCUGGUCACCUGGGUUAAUGGGUGAAUGUCUACAAAUUACAAAUGGCUUUAUUAAAGAAGUUAUUAACUGUACACACUGAACUAUCACUAAUGAUAUUUUAACUAACAAAAGUUGCUCUUGGAGUUCCUGUCGUGGCACAGUGGUUAACGAAUCCAACUAGGAACCACGGGGUUGCGGGUUCGGUCCCUGCCGUUGCUCAGUGGGUUGACGGUCCGGCGUUGCCGUGAGCUGUGGUCUAGGUCGCAGACGCGGCUCGGAUCCUGCAUUGCUGUGGCUCUGGCGUAGGCCAGUGGCGACAGCUCCUAUCCAACCCCUAGCCUGGGAACCUCCAUAUGCCGAGGGAGCGGCCCAAGAAAUGGCAAAAAGACAAAAAGACAAAAAAAAAAAAAGUUGCUCUUGAAAUCAACCUUUCUGGUUAAUUUCCCCUCUCUCUGGAAUCUUUGGUAGUUAAAAAAUUCAAUACACACCUGAAACUUUCACAACUGUUUAUGCAGAGCAUACAAAGGUAACAGCUUAUAAAUUCUUCUUAACUCAAAAAAGAAAAUGGUCAUAAAAAACUAGGACCCACUAUUGUAGUCAUUUCUGCUAAAAGACUUCUCCAAUGUACUCUAGGCUAUUCAUUUCCUUUUGUAAAUACAUUUUACCAUACUUUGAAGAAACAUGAAGACACUGAAAGUCAGAGAAGGAAUGAAUAAAGAAUUCAGAUAGGCAGGUGAAGUUUAAACAACAGGGUUGCUGGUGAAGGUAAACUUGGGAGUAGUCUCUUUGGUGUGUGUCAGUAACACAGGCGAGAAGAAAAACAAUGUGGUCAGAAACCUAGUCAAGCAAUCUCGUCAAAAGAGAUCAGAACUUAAACAGAGUUUAGGUAGCAGAUUUAGGCAAAAACAGUACCCAGCAUCUUGAUGCCUGGGAACUUUUAUAAACUUCCUGCUAAGGAAAGAAUUAAAUUCUCAAACCUGGCCCAAGUCUCAGUGGAGGCCAGUGGAGUACCUGGCUGAAAGGAAGAAAACAGCAGCUUUUGACAUAAACUAGUCAUGAUAAGAUGUUAGAGGGCUGGGUACCUAGGAGAGCUUCUAAAAUUUGGGAUCCAUAUAUAGUCUCCAGAGGGUUCUCUAACUAUGUUUGAAAAUACAAGAUGAGUGGAAGAAAGCAUUUUACCAGCACCUAGGGAACACAGUGUUACCAACGGGCAUUCAGUAGAUCAGUUAGAAAGCCUUGGCUGUAAAUAAUUAAUAAAACCCACUCACACUGUGAAUAACACUCAAACAAUAAGGAAAUUUAUUAUGUCAUACAACAAGGAAGUUCAGAGGUAGGGCAAACCUGAUAGAUGUUGUUAUAUAACAUGUCAUGAAGGAUCCCAGACUCCUCCAUCCUUUACUCUGCUGUCUUCAGUCAGAGCUUCAUCCCUCAGGUAAGAGCUUCAUCCUCAGGCAAGAGAAAGAUGAUAGCAAACAUUCCUGGCAUCAUAACCCAGACAUGCCAAUAUCCAGAGAAAGAAGACCACUUGUAGGAGUGAGCAAGUAUUUCUAAGAGCCCUGGCACAAGUGGCCCACGCCUAGUUUGGGUUAGGGAAUAGAAUAACCAUGAUGGGUUUAGACUGGUAAUCUGGGAUGGAUUAAAUGUCGGAAUCAACUAUUUAUACUAAGUUGUUUUUUGUUGUUGUUUUUGGGUUUUUUUGUGUGUGUUGGGGGGGGGCGUUUGGCUAUAGUGUGCAGCAGCUUGAUGUGCGAUCUCAGUACCCAGACUAGGGAUUGAACUCAGGCCACAGCAGUGAAAGCACUGAGGCCUAACCAGGAAACUCCUCUAAGAUUUGGCUUUUGUUGAGAUUUCCUCAGUUUCCCCUUAAGUUGUCUAAGUUAUUAUAAGUUACAAUUAUUGACUUAUAUCAGUAAAGAGAUAUCACUUAAUCUUUUUGCUUAUCUGUUUCGGUAAAGAACUUUUUUCUUCUCUCAGCCGUAAACAUAAAUGGCAACUGACAUACUAAUGUCCUUCUGCGAUGAUGUGGAAGAAAACAGGUAUCUGACUACUCGGCUUGUAAACCCAACUUUUACAGUGCUGAAAAAUGUCAAUGUCUGGCAGGGACAUGAAUUCACGUUAACUAAAGCACACACAUGUGAAAGAGUUUAAUCACAUGUGAGUCAGUAUGACUAAGGUUUAGAAUUAAUGGUAUAAAUACCUACUAUUGAACUCAAGGGAACAGGGGGUGCGAGAAGGGACAUUGUGACCUGUCUUGAUUCCAGCAAGACAGGUAGUUAAUUAUACACUGACCCUUAUCUAACAUCAAAAUAAAGACUACAAAGACCAAGCAAUUAUGGGGUGAUGAGUAGUAACUGCAAGUGAAAAGUCACAGUGUCCUUAUCCAUAAGGAGGCCUGGGUGAAUUGUGCCACAGAUGCAAUAGGGGAGGGCCUCUAUAUUUCACUCAUUUUUCUCUUUUUCUUUUUGGCCACACCCAUGGCAUGUGGAAGUUCCCCAGGCCAGGGAGUCUACCUUUCACUCCUUUUUUUUUAGGGCUGCACUUGCAAAUAUGGAAGUUCCCAGGCUAGGGGUCAAGUCAGAGCUACAGCUACUGGCCUACACCACAGACACAGCAACAUCAGAUCCUAGCCACAUCUGCAACCCACACCAUAGCUCACGGCACAGCUGGAUCCUUAACCCACUGAGCAAGGCCAAGGAUCAAACCUGAAUCCUCAUGGAUACUAGCUGAGUUCAUUACCACUGAACCACAAUAGGAACUCGCUACCUUUCACUCUUAAAAGUAAAGAGGUUAAAGAAGUUCAAGUCCCACCAAAGAUCACUAUUUCCAGGUACCUAAACUCACUCUGUCUCAUUCCUGGCAGGCCACACAAAGGUGUUGACAGAGCUGUGAACUAUUAAAUAGUGCAAAAUUCCCCAGUGAAAGCACCCAAAAGAAUUUUUAAAGGAAGGUUAUUUUUCACACGUGUUAAAGGGAAAAUCUCAAAUGUACAAUUCUAACGGGAAAGGAAAACACAAUGGAAUGUAAGGAUCCUUUUUUUUUUUUCUCUUCAUAAUUCUCCCUGAUUUCAUUAGAUAUAUACAUGUAGCAGUGGUAUUCAAACUUUUCUGAGCAGAAUGCACAAUAAGAACUCAUUUUCUUUUUAAAAUUAUUAUUAUUUUUUUAAUGGCCUCAACCUGCCAACAUAUGGAAGUUUCCAGGCCAGGGACUGAAUCCCAGCCACAGCUUCUACCUGCACUGUGGCUGCUGCAAAGCCAGAUCCUUUAACCCACUUCACUGGGCUGGGGAUUGAACACACACCUCCACAGUAAACUGAGACCCUGUAGCUGGAUUCUUAACCUACUGCUCCACAGCAGGAACAUCAGAAAUAAAUUUUACGUGGAGACUCAACACACACAUAUACACAUACUUUAUAUUUUUUCUCUCUUUUUCUCCCCUUUUCAGGCACACUUGUGGCAUAUGGAAGUUCCCUGGGCCAGAGAUCGAAUCCGAGCCACAGUUAUGACCUAUGCCACAGCUGUAGCAACACCAAAUCCUUAACCUACUGUGCUGGGCUGGGAUUGAACCCAUGCUGGCUCAGAGACAACACCAAAUUCUUAACCUGCUGCAACUCAGUGGGAACUCCCACUCUUUAUAUUUUCUAAAACUGAAACAGGGAAUUCCCUGGUGGCUCAGUGGAUUAAGGAUCCAGUGUUGUCACUGCUGUGGUGCAUGUUCAAUUCCUGGCCCAGGGACUUCUGCAUGCCACAGGCACAGCCAUAAAUAAAUAAAUAAAUCUGAAACAAAAACUCAAAACACAAGAGUUAAACUUUCUAAGUACAUGCUAGUUCUAUUCCAUUUCAUUUAAAAGCAAAUGCUGGGGAGUUCCCAUCGUGGCGCAGUGGUUAACGAAUCCGACUAGGAACCAUGAGGUUUCGGGUUCUGUCCCUGUCCUUGCUCAGUGGGUUGACGAUCCAGCGUUGCCAUGAGCUGUGCUGUAGUUUGCAGACGUGGCUCGGAUCCCGCGUUGCUGUGGCUCUGGCGUAGGCCAGUGGC